UAUUGUUUCUUAUUUCCGUAGGAAACACAGGACCAAUGAUGUCUUCUGACUAUAACUGUUUCCUGAUGGCUGAACAACAGUCUCCUUCUGCUUUACUUUAAAGUACUCUCUUUAACUUGCUGAUGUAAGAUAAAUAAAAUCUUAAAACUGGCUCUACUCAAAUAUCAAGACCAUGAAACUGUAAAACGAUUCCAUUUGAAAGGAGACUAAAGGGAUACGAGAGAACCAAAUACAACUUGGAACCUGACUUGGAUGCUGGACCAAAAAAGUUUUCUUUGCUGUGAGGGACACUGCUGAUACAACUGGCUGGAAGCAAUCUGCAUCUCCAGAAUUUCCAUCGAUGCUGCUGGGUUCACCAUUUUGUUCAUUUUGUGCUUCUCUUAAAACAAAGGGGGAAAAUGUUAAAAAUCAGAACAACACAACUCCAUCUGGUUACCUUGAAAAGCCCAGUUAUUGCACCUUUGCAUGUAUACUUAACUGUUUCCUGAGACCUGCUGCAAGGACCAUGGCACUGUGAUGGUUAAACCUCUUGAUGAUGGCAGCAUUACUAUUCUCCUUUAUGGAUUUAGAAUUAGAAGUAGAUGGCACAGAAGAAAUGCCAUAGCCCUAUGAGAAACAAUUUAGAAGAUUAAAAAUAAAGUUCUGGUUUUCUUAUCCAUUA
This is a long non-coding RNA of Canis lupus familiaris (dog), 661 nucleotides long. RefSeq lists it as uncharacterized. Lineage: Eukaryota; Metazoa; Chordata; Mammalia; Carnivora; Canidae. The transcript is spliced from 3 exons. The record is from RefSeq and is a predicted model, not a curated record.